UACGGGGGGGGCAAGCGUUGUUCGGCAUUACUGGGCGGAAAGGGCUCGUAGGUGGCCAACUAAGUCAGACGUGAAAUCCCUCGGCUUAACCGGGGAACUGCGUCUGAUACUGGAUGGCUUGAGUUUGGGAGAGGGAUGCGGAAUUCCAGGUGUAGCGGUGAAAUGCGUAGAUAUCUGGAGGAACACCGGUGGCGAAGGCGGCAUCCUGGACCAACACUGACACUGAGGAGCGAAAGCCAGGGGAGCAAACGGG
This 253-nucleotide ribosomal RNA is filed under the name uncultured bacterium. RNAcentral's name for it is "partial 16S ribosomal RNA". It matches the Rfam family "Bacterial small subunit ribosomal RNA", at positions 524 to 776 of the family's 1533-position model. The record is from RNAcentral.